CAGCAGCCACGGUAAAACGAAGGGUGCAAGCGUUAAUCGGAAUUACUGGGCGUAAAGCGUGCGUAGGCGGUUUGUUAAGUCUGCUGUGAAAUCCCCGAGCUUAACUUGGGAACUGCAUUUGAAACUGGCAAGCUAGAGUCUUGUAGAGGGGGGUAGAAUUCCAGGUGUAGCGGUGAAAUGCGUAGAGAUCUGGAGGAAUACCGGUGGCGAAGGCGGCCCCCUGGACAAAGACUGACGCUCAGGUGCGAAAGCGUGGGGAGCAAACAGGAUUAGAUACCCGGGUAGUCCCUGUCUCUUAUAC
This 301-nucleotide ribosomal RNA is filed under the name uncultured bacterium. Its description in RNAcentral is "partial 16S ribosomal RNA". It matches the Rfam family "Bacterial small subunit ribosomal RNA", at positions 509 to 807 of the family's 1533-position model. The record is from RNAcentral.